UACGGGGGGGGCAAGCGUUGUUCGGAAUUACUGGGCGUAAAGGGCGCGUAGGCGGCCUGUUAAGUCGAACGUGAAAUCCCCGGGCUCAACCCGGGAACUGCGUCCGAUACUGGCAGGCUUGAAUCCGGGAGAGGGAUGCGGAAUUCCAGGUGUAGCGGUGAAAUGCGUAGAUAUCUGGAGGAACACCGGUGGCGAAGGCGGCAUCCUGGACCGGUAUUGACGCUGAGGCGCGAAAGCCAGGGGAGCAAAGCGGG
Molecule: ribosomal RNA, 254 nt
Filed under: uncultured bacterium
Lineage: Bacteria
Description: partial 16S ribosomal RNA
Rfam family: Bacterial small subunit ribosomal RNA
Source: RNAcentral